Molecule: non-coding RNA, 1551 nt
Organism: Misgurnus anguillicaudatus (oriental weatherfish)
Lineage: Eukaryota; Metazoa; Chordata; Actinopteri; Cypriniformes; Cobitidae
Source: RefSeq, a predicted model, not a curated record
AGUGACAAUUCAAUAUACUUAUGGGAAGUAUAUUUUUUGGAAAUUAAUUGUUAAUUUACUUUUUUAAAGUGUACUAUGAUCUCACUUCAUAAGAAGUGUGACUUCUGUACACUUUAUACGGUACACUCUAAAAUAAGUGUAUUUUUAGUUGCAUAUCAGAGUACUUUCAAAAAAUAUGUUAGAAUAAUAAAAUGUAUACACUGCAUGAAAAGAGCUGUAUCCGGACAAAUACGGAUGGGAAAUCCCUGCUAAACUUUAGGUUUGCCAGAUAAAUGAGGCAGAGUGCUUGGAAACGUACUCAGAAGUAAACUCGUGAAACAUCCAGAAACCUUGUGUAUAUAGGAACUGGUGGAAGUUUCCAGGAAUCCUCAAAGCUGGAUGUGAGGAGUGCUAGUUGUGAGGUGUGAAGGGUUAAUGACAGAGGUGCUGUCUCUGUUUUCAAAGCUGGGUGGGAGGUUCGAGGCAGCACAUAACAUAAAAACUGGAUAAAAACAUUAUAUAUCUACAAGUGCGUUUACUAAAUACAUGUAUUAUUAUGCUAAUGUAAUUUAAUUGAUAAAGUUUUUUUUAUUUAAGAAAAUCUGAGCAUCACUGAAAAUAACUGUCAACAUGUUUGUCAACUAAACAUGUUUUGUAAACGUUAUACAUUUUAUAAAAAUAUUUUAUAUUUUUAUUAUUGAUAAAGUAUAAAGAACAAAUCAGUGUGAAACGCAGAUUAUAAAAAGUACAUAAAGUGCCAGCAGAGGAUCCAAAAUAAUGAAGAAAAAAACACACAUUUGAAACAUCCAAUGCAUCUUGGAACUCGUAGUCAAAUUUACAUCUACAGCAUGUAAGAACGCUAGGGCAAAAGACUUCAAUUACCAGAAUGCACUUGCACCCACCCAUUCAUUUCCACCAAUCAGGAUCAACGGCAUUAUUUCAAAUUCAAACCGCUACUGACUCGGUCUUCGUUUUCAUGCUAAACAGUACGGCUGAGAGGUCAUGUACCAUGUGGUCAACCUUGCUGAUGCUGAAGAGGUUUCUGUGUUAAAAUGAUAUGCAGUGAGGGAGUGAUUUCCCAACAUCGAGGUGGCAGAGAUCCGGGACCUUCUACGGAGGAAGUGCAACAAUGCCAGUUACAAGGCCUACCAGUAGUUCAAAUCAGAGCUAGAUGUGCAUAUAGUACAAGUUGUUCGCAAUUGUUCUCUUCCCGGCAUUUCAAAGAAAGUCGACUGUUUAAGGUUCCCAUUUUGCCAAUAUCUGUUUUGUGUGUUACUUUUGUGUCAAUAAUAAAGAUCCUUAUUUGAAAUGCAGUUUGUAAUCUGUUUGUGUGCAUUUGAACUGAAUUUUUAUAUAAUACACUUGUAAUGUAAUAGCAAUAUUCAUGCUUAAGUAUAACAAAAUGGGGAUAAAAGUACAAAUUAAAUAUACUUAAAAUAUAAAAAUACACUAUAAUAAUAUUGCACUGAAAGUACAUGUUUAUGAUGUUUAGGUUGUAAUUGAACUUCACUUUAAAAACAUUAUUAUUGUCAUAGUGGGACACUUUAAAAGCACUAAAAAUAGUUAGGAAGU